GAUGAACGCUGGCGGCGUGCCUAACACAUGCAAGUCGAACGAAGCAAUUAAGAUGAAGUUUUCGGAUGGAAUCUUGAUUGACUGAGUGGCGGACGGGUGAGUAACGCGUGGAUAACCUGCCUCACACUGGGGGAUAACAGUUAGAAAUGACUGCUAAUACCGCAUAAGCGCACAGUGCCGCAUGGCAGUGUGUGAAAAACUCCGGUGGUGUGAGAUGGAUCCGCGUCUGAUUAGCCAGUUGGCGGGGUAACGGCCCACCAAAGCGACGAUCAGUAGCCGACCUGAGAGGGUGACCGGCCACAUUGGGACUGAGACACGGCCCAAACUCCUACGGGAGGCAGCAGUGGGGAAUAUUGCACAAUGGGCGAAAGCCUGAUGCAGCGACGCCGCGUGAGUGAUGAAGUAUUUCGGUAUGUAAAGCUCUAUCAGCAGGGAAGAAAAUGACGGUACCUGACUAAGAAGCCCCGGCUAACUACGUGCCAGCAGCCGCGGUAAUACGUAGGGGGCAAGCGUUAUCUGGAUUUACUGGGUGUAAAGGGAGCGUAGACGGCGAAGCAAGUCUGAAGUGAAGACCCAGGGCUCAACCCUGGGACUGCUUUGGAAACUGUUUUGCUAGAGUGUCGGAGAGGUAAGUGGAAUUCCUAGUGUAGCGGUGAAAUGCGUAGAUAUUAGGAGGAACACCAGUGGCGAAGGCGGCUUACUGGACGAUAACUGACGUUGAGGCUCGAAAGCGUGGGGAGCAAACAGGAUUAGAUACCCUGGUAGUCCACGCCGUAAACGAUGAUG
RNAcentral lists this ribosomal RNA (786 nucleotides) under uncultured organism. Its description in RNAcentral is "SSU rRNA". It matches the Rfam family "Bacterial small subunit ribosomal RNA", at positions 28 to 814 of the family's 1533-position model. The record is from RNAcentral.